RNAcentral lists this long non-coding RNA (2246 nucleotides) under Daphnia magna. Its description in RNAcentral is "uncharacterized LOC116930369, transcript variant X1". Lineage: Eukaryota; Metazoa; Arthropoda; Branchiopoda; Diplostraca; Daphniidae. The record is from RNAcentral.
GACGACUGACAGAGUGCAACCGGAGGGUUGUGAACCUCUUCCGACUUUCAUGUGAUCUCUCUCUCUCUUUCCCUCUCUCUCUCUCUUUUUAUACUCAAGUAGAAAAAGAGGGUGACUACUAUACUGCAUCCAAAUGAGAGAGGGGAGAACGUGCAGAGAUUCACGUCCCCCCUUACUUUUCGUGAGUCAAAAAUAGGUUUUAGACGAAAGGCCAGCAGAAAAACGAAGCACUUUUUCCUUCGUGCUUUAAACUGAUCGAAUGUGUCUCUCCUCGUCUUUCCCCCCUCAGCUGGUUCAGCUGGGAAGACACCUACACAGCUUUGACUUCUGCCCCAAAAUGGUUUCUUGUGUACAGUUCAAGUAGCAACAGAAAAUCAGUCCAAAAAGGACUUUAGUUGUUUCCAACCAUUCGACAGCUCUAAACUACGUCGUUAAAUUAUCCACAAAUCAUUAUUGUUAGUGAAACGGACGCUCUUUCAUUUUACACGGAUAUCUCGAAACUAUGCGAAAUUGAGGCUCUGUCACAGGGACCUGCCAGUGGCUUCGUGUUGUAUCUACGUGCGAGCAGCACGUCGUACAACUUUUUUCCGAUAACGUAAGCUCGUCAUACGAGACACACGUUAGGUUAUUUAUAAACUCGGCCAUGGAAAUAUUUUCUUGUUUUAGUUCUUUUUCAUUCUUUUUGGUUGGCGUUCAUCGCGUUACUUGUUGGCCUGGUUCGAACCACAGAUGAGGAACAAAAGAACGAGAAGCAACGGCUUAAAAAGAAUUGAGCAAAACAAUAACAAGAACAACACGGCUGGCUGCUGGGUUUUGUUUAUCCUCUGUCAAGACUCGAUCCAUCACAGUUUCCGUCUCCACUAUUUUCCCAACUUGCAUCGCAGAGUGAGAAACACACACACAAAAAAACGAUGGUUUCCAGAUGUUUCAACUAUUCGAUGCUACGCUUUUUUUUUGUGUUUUAGAAAUGGAAUGUACUAUGGCAAAGAUUGGAGAGCCGAUCAAUUUUUGUUUGCAUUUAACAGCAUCCAGUUUCUUUCUUUAAUCGUUGAAAGAAAGAUUUUUCGGUUGACCUCCCAGAUACGGGAACUGGUAAAGAUAACAAAGAAAAAGAACAUGGAGCUUACAAGAUGGAAGGUUUGUCGCUGUUGGUUUGUUCCAUGGACGAUUGGAGAGGAACCAAAUCAACGACAGAAGCAUCACGAACCGGUGGUCAAUCGACUAUUGAGUUUGCACACUGCCAAUGCAUACAACUGUACUCCAAUUGCCAUUACCGAAUUGCUACGGCUCUACGAUAACUACAACCUACGGAACUACAAAAGAACUACAACGACAACAAAUGUGGACGCUUUAGCAAGGCCAGUAAUCAAUAGGCGCUAAAUUUGCAAACACUCAACAACGACGAAGAAGAGAAACAAAGUGAAGCCUUUGCGAAACUGGCAGCUGUGCAGGAACGUGAGCGCUUUGGCGCAUCGACGAAAGGCGCGACCGCUUGUUUUUCGCUUAUUUUAUUAACGCCUUUUUCUUACUGGCUAGCUAUAAAUAAUUAAGGAGGAGAGAAAAUGAGAGAGAGAGAGAGGGAAAGUCGUGGAUGCGGCGGAAGAGACGGGUGGCCGCCAGCUGCUAGGGCGGGUCCAGUUUAGAUAUCGGAGCGUUUCGACCGACAUUCUUUGGCAAAACUAUGAUGUCAAUCGGCGUCGAGCAAGAGGCUCCGUUUGACACGGUAUUCCUUGCGAUCGGCAGUUGUGAAAAUGACGAAUUGAACCGGAACGGAAGAGUUGACAGAAUUUUUUUAGACGGACAUACCGGCAGAUGCAGAAGAAGAAGUCCAGGACGAAAGCUGUGGCGGUGAUUCAAGCUGGUAGUCGUCCUCGUCGUCGGCCAUCUUUGACGUUCACCACAGCAGCACAGUAGCCGUGUAGCUAUAGCUGCGCUGAUUCGAGGAUCCUCCUAAAAAUUCCCCAGCUGGGAUUCUUGUCGGUAUCUCGCAUUGAGUGGCGAUGUGAGUUACGAUAAAGCAAACCGCCUCGAAAAGUGAUGUCACUAACAGUUCGUACACAGGUAGAAUUCCAGCUGUAUAUUUACAAUCUAUUUUGAUCGAAACGCUGGUGAAGAUAAGGUAUCGUGGAACUCGCCGAACUUUCCAAGACGCUUUGAGUGUAUACAAUCCCGUCAUUACAACAGAACUUUCUACUGUAUUGAUCACGUUACAACGCGCAUGAUCCGAAUAAAACACAUCCGUCAGA